UAUACAUGCAGUCGACGGUAAGUAGUGUAGCAAUACAUUACCUAGAGUGACGUACGGGUGCGUAACACGUAUGCAACCUACCCAAAACAGGCGGAUAGCUCGGGGAAACUCGAAUUAACCCGCCAUAAUAUAAUUGAAUGGCAUCAUUUGAUUAUUAAAACUCCGGUGGUUUUGGAUGGGCAUGCGUCUGAUUAGUUAGUUGGCGGGGUAACGGCCCACCAAGACGAUGAUCAGUAGGGGAACUGAGAGGUUGAUCCCCCACACUGGCACUGAGAUACGGGCCAGACUCCUACGGGAGGCAGCAGUAGGGAAUAUUGGUCAAUGGAUGCAAGUCUGAACCAGCCAUGCCGCGUGCAGGAAGAAGGCCUUCUGGGUUGUAAACUGCUUUUAUCGGGGGAUAAAAUGAGCGUGCGCGCUUAAUUGAAGGUACCCGGUGAAUAAGCCACGGCUAACUACGUGCCAGCAGCCGCGGUAAUACGUAGGUGGCAAGCGUUGUCCGGAUUUAUUGGGUUUAAAGGGUGCGUAGGCGGCCCUGUAAGUCAGUGGUGAAAUGCUCUAGCUUAACUAGAGAGGUGCCAAUGAUACUGCAGGGCUUGAGUACAGAUGAGGUAGGCGGAAUUGACGGUGUAGCGGUGAAAUGCAUAGAUAUCGUCAAGAACACCGAUAGCGAAGGCAGCUUACUGGGCUGUAACUGACGCUGAUGCACGAAAGUGUGGGGAUCAAACAGGAUUAGAUACCCUGGUAGUCCACACUGUAAACGUUGAUUACUCGCUGUUGCGAUACACAGCAGCGGCUUAGCGAAAGCGAUAAGUAAUCCACCUGGGGAGUACGCGCACGGUGAACCUCAAGAUG
RNAcentral lists this ribosomal RNA (852 nucleotides) under uncultured Flexibacteraceae bacterium. Its description in RNAcentral is "bacterial SSU rRNA". It matches the Rfam family "Bacterial small subunit ribosomal RNA", at positions 50 to 908 of the family's 1533-position model. The record is from RNAcentral. Lineage: Bacteria; Pseudomonadati; Bacteroidota; Cytophagia; Cytophagales; Cytophagaceae.